Molecule: small RNA, 316 nt
Filed under: Castor canadensis (American beaver)
Lineage: Eukaryota; Metazoa; Chordata; Mammalia; Rodentia; Castoridae
Description: 7SK RNA (ENSCCNG00000013150.1)
Rfam family: 7SK RNA
About the family: 7SK was discovered as an abundant small nuclear RNA in the mid-70s but a possible function has only recently been suggested. Two independent studies have found that 7SK RNA binds the CDK9/cyclin T complex (known as elongation factor P-TEFb).
Source: Rfam by way of RNAcentral
GGAUGUGAGGGCGAUCUGGCUGUGACAUCUGUCACCCAUUGAUCGCCAGGGUUGAUUCGGCUGAUCUGGCUGGCUAGGCGGGUGUCCCCUUCCUCCCUCACCGCUCCAUGUGCGUCCCUCCCGAAGCUGCACGCUCGGUCGAAGAGGACGACCAUCCCCGAUAGAGGAGGACCGUUCUUCGGUCAAGGGUAUACGAGUAGCUGUGCUCCCCUGCUAGAACCUCCAAACAAGCUCUCAAGAUAGGAUCUCACAACUGUUUGCCUGGGCUGGCUUUGAACUGCUAUCCUCCUGAUCUCUGGCUCCUGAGUAUUUAGGA